UUAGUGAAUAUAGGACGUCCAACUUAACUUGGAGUCCGAACUCUCACUUUCUAACCCUGUGCACUUGUUUGGGAUAGUAACUCUCGCAAGAGAGCGAACUCCUAUUCACUUAUAAACACAAAGUCUAUGAAUGUAUUAAAUUUUAUAACAAAAUAAAACUUUCAACAACGGAUCUCUUGGCUCUCGCAUCGAUGAAGAACGCAGCGAAAUGCGAUAAGUAAUGUGAAUUGCAGAAUUCAGUGAAUCAUCGAAUCUUUGAACGCACCUUGCGCUCCAUGGUAUUCCGUGGAGCAUGCCUGUUUGAGUGUCAUGAAUACUUCAACCCUCCUCUUUCUUAAUGAUUGAAGAGGUGUUUGGUUUCUGAGCGCUGCUGGCCUUUACGGUCUAGCUCGUUCGUAAUGCAUUAGCAUCCGCAAUCGAACUUCGGAUUGACUUGGCGUAAUAGACUAUUCGCUGAGGAAUUCUAGUCUUCGGACUAGAGCCGGGUUGGGUUAAAGGAAGCUUCUAAUCAGAAUGUCUACAUUUUAAGAUUAGAUCUCAAAUCANGUAGGACUACCCGCUGAACUUAAGCAUAUCAAUAAGCGGNGGAA
Molecule: ribosomal RNA, 590 nt
Filed under: fungal endophyte sp. CEY 03
Lineage: Eukaryota; Fungi
Description: eukaryotic LSU rRNA
Rfam family: 5.8S ribosomal RNA (bases 157-310)
Source: RNAcentral